GAGAGAGCAAGCCCAAACCUGAAAAAUUGCUAGUUUUUUAGGCCCGCAGUUGAAAUCCGCGGCUCACUCG
Molecule: transfer RNA, 70 nt
Filed under: Xenomystax atrarius (deepwater conger)
Lineage: Eukaryota; Metazoa; Chordata; Actinopteri; Anguilliformes; Congridae
Description: tRNA-Ser
Source: RNAcentral